RNAcentral lists this ribosomal RNA (253 nucleotides) under uncultured bacterium. RNAcentral's name for it is "partial 16S ribosomal RNA". It matches the Rfam family "Bacterial small subunit ribosomal RNA", at positions 524 to 776 of the family's 1533-position model. The record is from RNAcentral.
UACGGGGGGGGCAAGCGUUGUUCGGAAUUACUGGGCGUAAAGGGCGCGUAGGCGGUUCGCUAAGUCGGAUGUGAAAACUCUGGGCUCAACCCAGAGCCUGCAUCCGAAACUGGCGGGCUAGAGUUCUGGAGGGGGUAGCGGAAUUCCUGGUGUUGCGGUGAAAUGCGUAGAUAUCUGGAGGAAUACCGGUGGCGAAGGCGGCAUCCUGGACCGGCAUUGACGCUGAUGAGCGAAAGCUAGGGGAGCAAACGGG